UCCAACUUCACUCGUCACCGUUUCUCAUUUCACCAAUUCACCCUCUGGACUGAGAGGAGAGAUACAGAGCUCAACAAUUCACCAAAGAGGCAGAAGAUAUAGAGAGCCCGAAACCAUUUGAAGCAAACCUGUUUUGUCUGCUACCACUCUAUUCCAAACCUUUUCUCCAACUUCGCUCGUCACCAUUCUUCAUUACCACCAAUUCAACAAAGGAGCAGAAGAGAUAGAGAAGCUUUCAUCAACUUCUGGUCUGACUUGUGUGCCCGAAAUCAUUCGAAGCAAACUUGUUUAGUCUGCUACCGGAGUAGAACAAAAAUAUCACAAUCAGGGCCAAUUUGACAAUUAUCAAGAAAGAGUUCAAGUAGCAGGCAUCUAGGGACAUUUUUGGAAUAUCAGAUCACAACCCUUCUUGGUAAUUGGCCCGAAGACAGCAUUAAAAGGAGGAGGCCGAAGUCUUCUUUUCUCUCUCGGCUGGGCGGCGGACGCCGCACAGUAGGCAUUAGAAUAGGAGCAAUAGCUUAGCUUUUGAUUUUUCAUCUCUUAGUUUAGCCUAGUUUCUUUGACUUUUCCAUCUUUUCGUCAUCUAGUAGGAACUUUUCCUCCUUAGCUUUUGAUAGUGGAGUUCUCCUGUGCAUGUCAGGAGCCUUACGAGGAAUUGCAUCAUUGUUUGUAGUUGCUGGUUUCUUCUUA
Coffea arabica (coffee) is the source of this 690-nucleotide long non-coding RNA. RefSeq lists it as uncharacterized. The record is from RefSeq and is a predicted model, not a curated record. Lineage: Eukaryota; Viridiplantae; Streptophyta; Magnoliopsida; Gentianales; Rubiaceae.